Molecule: long non-coding RNA, 882 nt
Filed under: Gallus gallus (chicken)
Lineage: Eukaryota; Metazoa; Chordata; Aves; Galliformes; Phasianidae
Description: long non-coding RNA NONGGAT005294
Source: RNAcentral
UCCAGUGGGAACCAGUCGAGCCAGCGGGUGAGGAGCGGCGUCACUGGGCAAGCAGGGGACAUGCAGGACACACCGGGCUCUGGGAGUGGCUCCCAGCCCGGCCAGCUGUGAGCAGCUCCUGCGGGAAGGCAGCAGGCACGGGGAGAUGGACUCUGGGACAGGGCAAGGGCUCAUCAGUGUGUUCGGGUUCAUCUUGGGCAUCGGGCUGGCCUUGCUGAUCCUGAUCAUUUCUGGCUACGCCGUUUUCCUUUGCUACCAGCAGGGCUGGUGCUGGUGCCGUGAGUAUGGGCAGAGCAGGGGACAAGCAGCUGCAGGGCAGGGAGGGGACAAAGGAGGGGUGUGGAGAGCACGAAUGGCAUUUGCUGGUCCCCAAAAUCUGCAUGCAGGGUGGCUGGAGGGUGCAUAGGGGGAAUGCACAGAGAUGUCCUGGUGCUGCUGGUUAUCCAGGGGGUUGUCCUGUCCCUUCCCUGUGCCACCUCACAGACCUCUAUAGGCACUGCAGUGCCCUCUGAUGGCCUCUCCUUCCCUCCUGCUCCUCCCAGGCCCUGACUUCAUCUUCAACCUCUACCAUGGCCGCAGGCUGAGGUCGGUAGCAGUGGAGCUGGCACCUCCAUUCAGCAUCAGUGCCUCUGUGAGCCAGGCAGGGAACGGCUAUGUGCGCUUCCAUGAGCAGGGGCUGUGAGCAGCAGGGCAUGGUCCUGCUCCUUGUGUGUGGGGUCCCAGCCUCAUGGAGGUCCUGCAGAGCCUGGAGCAGCAUGCACGGGGCCUUCCCAUGGUGGUGAGUGUGAUGCAUCCCAAAGCUUUCUGCACCCCAGAGCCUCCUUCCCCUCCUAUAGCUCUGACUGUGGCUUUCCCUGGGAGAGUCCCAAGGAUUUUCCUCUG